UACAGAGGUCUCAAGCGUUGUUCGGAUUCAUUGGGCGUAAAGGGUGUGUAGGCGGGAUGGCAAGUCGGUCGUGAAAUCCCUCGGCUCAACUGAGGAGCGUCGAUCGAAACUGCCGUUCUUGAGGGUUGCAGAGGAGACUGGAAUUCCCGGUGUAGCGGUGAAAUGUGUAGAGAUCGGGAGGAACACCGGUGGCGAAGGCGGGUCUCUGGGCAACUCCUGACGCUGAGGCGCGAAAGCGUGGGGAGCAAACGGG
This 253-nucleotide ribosomal RNA is filed under the name uncultured bacterium. Its description in RNAcentral is "partial 16S ribosomal RNA". It matches the Rfam family "Bacterial small subunit ribosomal RNA", at positions 524 to 776 of the family's 1533-position model. The record is from RNAcentral.